AGGAAAGCUUGGCAUAAGGCAUGGCGCCAGCCAUAUGUUGUGUGGCGCACGCCACAUGCUUAUUGGCAUGUGUGUGGCGCCGGCCAUAUGUUGUGAUGCCUGACACAAUUUAUGCUUUUGUCUUUAUAUUGGGUGGUUUAUAGUGUGUUAUUGGGUAUGUGACUCAAAUGGUAUUAAUGCAUGGCGUGUAGCAGUGAAAGAAGGAAUCUUUAUAUAGCCUUGCAGGUCACAUGAGUUUGCAUGUUCAUAAUAAUUAUAAAAAGAGAUGAUACUUGUGCAUGUGACUUGCAGAAAAUUAAGUCUAGCUUGUGGCAUAUAGGGUCAUGUGAGCUGAUAAAAUUUUCUUGUUGUGCAGUGUGUAAGAAAUGCUUUUGACUAAACAAUUAUGUGGAUACUAUAAUUGGAUAUUGACCAUAGCAGCAAACCAGUACGAAAGAUUUAACUAAGUUGAAUAGUAUAUAUAUAGAUAGAUGAAUCAUGCAGAGAAAGGAAAUCUAACAUGAAAAUACUUGCAUAAUUUAUUAAUACCAAAAUAAAAUAAUUGUAUCU
This 549-nucleotide long non-coding RNA is filed under the name Trifolium pratense (red clover). RNAcentral's name for it is "long non-coding RNA (TPRA_LNC010088)". Lineage: Eukaryota; Viridiplantae; Streptophyta; Magnoliopsida; Fabales; Fabaceae. The record is from RNAcentral.